RNAcentral lists this ribosomal RNA (440 nucleotides) under uncultured bacterium. RNAcentral describes it as "partial 16S ribosomal RNA". It matches the Rfam family "Bacterial small subunit ribosomal RNA", at positions 338 to 795 of the family's 1533-position model. The record is from RNAcentral.
CCUACGGGUGGCAGCAGUGGGGGAUAUUGCACAAUGGGGGGAACCCUGAUGCAGCGACGCCGCGUGGGUGAAGAAGCGCCUCGGCGCGUAAAGCCCUGUCAGCAGGGAAGAAAAUGACGGUACCUGAAGAAGAAGCCCCGUCUACCUACGUACCAGCAGCCGCGGUAAUCCGUAGGGGGGAGGCGUUAUCCGGAUUGACUGGGGGUAAAGGGGGCGCAGGCGGGGCUGCAAGCCACGAGUGAAAACCCGGGGCCCAACCCCGGGACUGCCCUUGGAACUGCGUGGCUGGAGUGGAGGAGGGGCAGGCGGAAUUCGUGGUGUAGCGGUGAAAUGCGUAGAUAUCAGGAGGAAAACCGGUGGCGAAGGCGGCAUGCUGGACUGCAACUGACGUUGAGGCCCGAAAGCGUGGGGAGCAAACAGGAUUAGAUACCCGUGUAGUC